Molecule: ribosomal RNA, 863 nt
Filed under: Staphylococcus aureus
Lineage: Bacteria; Bacillati; Bacillota; Bacilli; Caryophanales; Staphylococcaceae
Description: partial 23S ribosomal RNA
Rfam family: Bacterial large subunit ribosomal RNA
Source: RNAcentral
GAAACCAGGUGAUCUACCCUUGGUCAGGUUGAAGUUCAGGUAACACUGAAUGGAGGACCGAACCGACUUACGUUGAAAAGUGAGCGGAUGAACUGAGGGUAGCGGAGAAAUUCCAAUCGAACCUGGAGAUAGCUGGUUCUCUCCGAAAUAGCUUUAGGGCUAGCCUCAAGUGAUGAUUAUUGGAGGUAGAGCACUGUUUGGACGAGGGGCCCCUCUCGGGUUACCGAAUUCAGACAAACUCCGAAUGCCAAUUAAUUUAACUUGGGAGUCAGAACAUGGGUGAUAAGGUCCGUGUUCGAAAGGGAAACAGCCCAGACCACCAGCUAAGGUCCCAAAAUAUAUGUUAAGUGGAAAAGGAUGUGGCGUUGCCCAGACAACUAGGAUGUUGGCUUAGAAGCAGCCAUCAUUUAAAGAGUGCGUAAUAGCUCACUAGUCGAGUGACACUGCGCCGAAAAUGUACCGGGGCUAAACAUAUUACCGAAGCUGUGGAUUGUCCUUUGGACAAUGGUAGGAGAGCGUUCUAAGGGCGUUGAAGCAUGAUCGUAAGGACAUGUGGAGCGCUUAGAAGUGAGAAUGCCGGUGUGAGUAGCGAAAGACGGGUGAGAAUCCCGUCCACCGAUUGACUAAGGUUUCCAGAGGAAGGCUCGUCCGCUCUGGGUUAGUCGGGUCCUAAGCUGAGGCCGACAGGCGUAGGCGAUGGAUAACAGGUUGAUAUUCCUGUACCACCUAUAAUCGUUUUAAUCGAUGGGGGGACGCAGUAGGAUAGGCGAAGCGUGCGAUUGGAUUGCACGUCUAAGCAGUAAGGCUGAGUAUUAGGCAAAUCCGGUACUCGUUAAGGCUGAGCUGUGAUGGGGAGAAGACAU